AAAGAAAGACGAGUGAUCGCUGGCUUUGCCAGAGGAAAGUCCGAGCACCACUAGGAUAAAGUGCCUGUUAACGGCAGGGCAGGGCAACCUGACGGAUAGUGCAACAGAAAAUAUACCGCCAUUAUGGUAAGGGUGAAAAGGUAAGGUAAGAGCUUACCACAAAUUUGGUAACAAGUUUGGUAUUGUAAACCCCACUUGGUGCAAGGCUAAAUAGAGGAACGAUAAGUUAUCCUAGACAGUUCCUGGGUAAGCUGCUCGAGCUAGUUGGUGACAGCUAGCCUAGAUGGAUGAUCACAUCUACAUAUAGAAACAGAACUCGGCUUAUAGUCUUUCUUUUAUC
Molecule: RNase P RNA, 340 nt
Filed under: Chloroflexota bacterium
Lineage: Bacteria; Bacillati; Chloroflexota
Description: RNase P RNA component class A
Rfam family: Bacterial RNase P class A
About the family: Ribonuclease P (RNase P) is a ubiquitous endoribonuclease, found in archaea, bacteria and eukarya as well as chloroplasts and mitochondria.
Source: RNAcentral